Synechococcus sp. RS9916 is the source of this 57-nucleotide small RNA. It matches the Rfam family "Cyanobacterial functional RNA 1". NCBI's taxonomy places the organism in Bacteria, Bacillati, Cyanobacteriota, Cyanophyceae, Synechococcales, Synechococcaceae. The record is from Rfam.
GUGCGGGCCUCUGCUCGCACACUCCUCACACCCCCCGGCCCGGCGCGAUCGGGCUUU